RNAcentral lists this ribosomal RNA (497 nucleotides) under uncultured bacterium. RNAcentral's name for it is "partial 16S ribosomal RNA". It matches the Rfam family "Bacterial small subunit ribosomal RNA", at positions 28 to 507 of the family's 1533-position model. The record is from RNAcentral.
GAUGAACGCUGGCGGCGUGCCUAAUACAUGCAAGUCGAGCGAACAGACGAGGAGCUUGCUCCUCUGACGUUAGCGGCGGACGGGUGAGUAACACGUGGAUAACCUACCUAUAAGACUGGGAUAACUUCGGGAAACCGGAGCUAAUACCGGAUAAUAUAUUGAACCGCAUGGUUCAAUAGUGAAAGACGGUUUUGCUGUCACUUAUAGAUGGAUCCGCGCCGCAUUAGCUAGUUGGUAAGGUAACGGCUUACCAAGGCAACGAUGCGUAGCCGACCUGAGAGGGGGAGCCGCACCACUGGAACUGAGAAAACGUCCAGACUCCCACGGGAGGCAACAGUGGGGAAUAUUGCACAAUGGGGGCAAGCCUGAGACAGCCAAACCGGGGGGGUGAAGAAGGGUUUCGGGUUGUAAAACCCUUUUUUUCGGGAAAAAAAAAAGGUGGAUAAAACCCUGCGGUUCUGACGGGACCCAAAGAAAAAGCCCCGGCUAAAUUCGUG